Molecule: long non-coding RNA, 573 nt
Filed under: Mus spicilegus (steppe mouse)
Lineage: Eukaryota; Metazoa; Chordata; Mammalia; Rodentia; Muridae
Description: lncRNA (ENSMSIG00000006712.1)
Source: RNAcentral
CUCCAGUCAGAUGUAAGCUGUCCCUCUUUGAGUUGGCCCUGUGGUCUUUAGCUUCUGGGACAGGUCGUGAGCUUCUAGAUUGCUGUGCUGACUGGAAUUCUGGGUGGCCUGUCAACAGCAGCUGGGAUCAGUGUGUCAGCAGGUCCUGUAAAUCCUACCAAGUGUCAGUUCCUGCAGAGGAAGCCCUGUCAGCUGCCAAUGAGUCUGCCCCCUUUCAUACCUGCUGAACUGACUCUCAAGAAGAAGGCUGGGCAGGCAGCCAGGAAGUAGUCAGCUCCAGCUUUGUGCCUUUGCUUUGAGGUCUGGGAUGUCUGAGUUCACACCUACCUGCCUGAGAAGGCUGCGAGGGGUAAGGCACCCACGGGGAUAUCCGCACAGUGGAAGGCAGGCAUGAUCUCAACCGGUCUGCUGAGAGGGCCAUAGGUGGAAUAUACAGGCUGGUACAGGCCCCUAGACUUGUACCUGUAUAUCCCUGUGUGACAGCCAGCCUCAACUUCAACCUGGGUAUCCUCUGUGUCACCUGUAGCCACAGUCAUGAAAGCUUCUGUUGUAGAGAUUUUUGGGUCUUGUGCA